AAGUCGUAACAAGGUUUCCGUAGGUGAACCUGCGGAAGGAUCAUUACCACACCCUUUCGGAUUGGGGAGAGAAGUAACAAGCUCUCUCCUUUCCAAAACCGACCCGCGUACCAAUAAAACUUUUUUCCCUGUGGAAGUGUGUUUGGCUUUUCUGUAAUGGGAAGGUCAAAUCACUUUCAUAGGUUUCAGACCAUUGUCUAUUCCUUUUGGAAUAAAAAAAAACUAUUUGAUAACGAACUUAUGAAAACUUUUAUUCGAAAGAAUAAUUAAACCAACACUUUCAGCAACGGAUGUCUUGGCUCCC
RNAcentral lists this unclassified non-coding RNA (304 nucleotides) under air metagenome. Its description in RNAcentral is "partial contains small subunit ribosomal RNA, internal transcribed spacer 1, and 5.8S ribosomal RNA". The stretch from base 1 to 46 matches the Rfam family "Eukaryotic small subunit ribosomal RNA", at positions 1786 to 1831 of the family's 1831-position model. The record is from RNAcentral.